GACGCUGGCGGCAUGCCUAACACAUGCAAGUCGAACGAGACCUUCGGGUCUAGUGGCGCACGGGUGCGUAACGCGUGGGAAUCUGCCCUUGGGUUCGGAAUAACAGUGAGAAAUUACUGCUAAUACCGGAUGAUGUCUUCGGACCAAAGAUUUAUCGCCCAGGGAUGAGCCCGCGUAGGAUUAGCUAGUUGGUGGGGUAAUGGCCUACCAAGGCGACGAUCCUUAGCUGGUCUGAGAGGAUGAUCAGCCACACUGGGACUGAGACACGGCCCAGACUCCUACGGGAGGCAGCAGUGGGGAAUAUUGGACAAUGGGCGAAAGCCUGAUCCAGCAAUGCCGCGUGAGUGAUGAAGGCCUUAGGGUUGUAAAGCUCUUUUACCCGGGAUGAUAAUGACAGUACCGGGAGAAUAAGCUCCGGCUAACUCCGUGCCAGCAGCCGCGGUAAUACGGAGGGAGCUAGCGUUGUUCGGAAUUACUGGGCGUAAAGCGCGCGUAGGCGGCUGCUCAAGUCAGAGGUGAAAGCCCGGGGCUCAACCCCGGAACUGCCUUUGAAACUAGGUAGCUAGAAUCUUGGAGAGGUCAGUGGAAUUCCGAGUGUAGAGGUGAAAUUCGUAGAUAUUCGGAAGAACACCAGUGGCGAAGGCGACUGACUGGACAAGUAUUGACGCUGAGGUGCGAAAGCGUGGGGGAGCAAACAGGAUUAGAUACCCUGGUAGUCCACGCCGUAAACGAUGAUAACUAGCUGUCCGGGCACUUGGUGCUUGGGUGGCGCAGCUAACGCAUUAAGUUAUCCGCCUGGGGAGUACGGUCGCAAGAUUAAAACUCAAAGGAAUUGACGGGGGCCUGCACAAGCGGUGGAGCAUGUGGUUUAAUUCGAGCACGCGCAGANCUUACCAGCGUUUGACAUCCUCAUCGCGAUAGAGAGAUCUUUC
Molecule: ribosomal RNA, 932 nt
Filed under: Novosphingobium sp. T-38
Lineage: Bacteria; Pseudomonadati; Pseudomonadota; Alphaproteobacteria; Sphingomonadales; Sphingomonadaceae
Description: bacterial SSU rRNA
Rfam family: Bacterial small subunit ribosomal RNA
Source: RNAcentral